GGUGAAUUUUCCCUCCUCUGCCCCUGCCUUACCUUCAGAUUGCUUCCCUGCCUUGAUUUUGUCUCCAAAAUCUUCCUGUCAAAAUCCUUGUACCUGUACAUGCCAAUGACUGUUGAGGUAGAAGCAAUGAGUAGUGAUCUUGCAUAAAAUUCUUGCUGAACAGAUCUAAACAAGCCACCUCUGCAAAUAUUGAGACUGAUGUGCUUUGUUGAUCGAGAACUUGACUCUGAUAUUAGAGUAAUUUAGUGUGAAAUCUGUGUAGAUUUAUGAAUAGCUGAUGAAGGUGAGAGGAAAAAUGAUUGUAGAAAUUGGGAACACAUGAAAUUUUGUGGUUGAAGUCAGGCUGAUUGCAGUUGAGAAAAGAAAAGGAGAGGCAUAUCGCAUUGGUUUAAAUUUGAUAGAAGAAGAAUAUGGUUGUUUUAGUAUAUAUGUUAAAUUUGUUCAAGGUAGCCCAGAGAUCCUUUAUAUCUGCAGUUCUGCACCGACUUGCCAGAAAUCCUUUACAACUGCACUGAGUUUAGUCUGACUUGGUUGUCCCUUUUCCCUGAACUCACCCUGUCCUCUCAUUUACCUGACCUGAUGGGAGUAGGGCAAGACUGGUUGCAGAUCAAUUAUCGUAUUGCCAUCCUAGGCUGUACCUCCUGAAAUUGACAAUCUUAGAUUUUUAACAACUUUCAGAACAUGAACACAGGGUUGGUUCCUAAAUUCUUAAUCCUUAACAUGUAAUAAUAAAAAUCAUGAUUGCUGUUAUUAUUCAGUGUUUGUUCUCAGAAUAUCUAAGCUUGUCAAUGUUGUUUCUGAAUUAUGUUGAUGGAUUCUUCAUGUUUGUCUCAAAAAUGCUCUGCAGUUUCUCAGUGCCUUAUGAACUG
This 869-nucleotide unclassified non-coding RNA is filed under the name Hevea brasiliensis (rubber tree). The record is from RNAcentral. Lineage: Eukaryota; Viridiplantae; Streptophyta; Magnoliopsida; Malpighiales; Euphorbiaceae.